GCUGGGCGUGGUGGCGCAUGCCUGUAAUCCCAGCUACUCAGGAGGCUGAGGCAGGAGAAUCACUUGAACCCAGGAGGUGGAGGUUCAGUGAGCUGAGAUUGAGUCACUGCACUCCAACCUGGGUGACAGAGUGAGACUCUGUCUCAA
RNAcentral lists this signal recognition particle RNA (147 nucleotides) under Callithrix jacchus (white-tufted-ear marmoset). Its description in RNAcentral is "Metazoan signal recognition particle RNA (ENSCJAG00000081089.1)". It matches the Rfam family "Metazoan signal recognition particle RNA". From Rfam's summary of the family: The signal recognition particle (SRP) is a universally conserved ribonucleoprotein. It is involved in the co-translational targeting of proteins to membranes. The record is from Rfam by way of RNAcentral. Lineage: Eukaryota; Metazoa; Chordata; Mammalia; Primates; Cebidae.